GAUGAACGCUGGCGGCGUGCCUAAUACAUGCAAGUCGAGCGAACAGACGAGGAGCUUGCUCCUCUGACGAUAGCGGCGGACGUGUGAGUAACACGUGGAUACCCUCCCUAUCAGACUGGGAUAACUUCGGGAAACCGGAGCUAAUACCGGAUAAUAUAUUACACCGCAUGGUUCAAUUGUGAAAGACGGUUUUGCUGUCACUUAUAGAUGGAUUUGCGCCGCAUUAGCUAGUUGGUCAGGUAACGGGUUACCAAGGCAACGAUGCGUAGCCGAACUGAGAGGGGGAUAGGCGGCCUGGGAACGGAACCGGCGACCCGGGGCCUGAGAGACGGAGCAGAAGGGAAUGGGACGCAGUGGGGGAAAGCUUUACGGAGCAAGGGCGAGUGAGAUAUGAAGGUCCUCGGAUCGGAAAACCCUGUUAUUAGGGAAGAACAAAUGUGUAAGGAAAUAUGCACGUAGUGACGGUACCUAAACAGAAAGCCACGGCUAACUACGUG
This 497-nucleotide ribosomal RNA is filed under the name uncultured bacterium. RNAcentral describes it as "partial 16S ribosomal RNA". It matches the Rfam family "Bacterial small subunit ribosomal RNA", at positions 28 to 507 of the family's 1533-position model. The record is from RNAcentral.